AUGGCUUCCCGCCUCAUAACCAGAUCAACGGCCGCGGCCCUCCUCUCCCACCUCCGCUCCAGGACGCCGAAUCCUACCCACCACCUCCCCACACAUGGAGCUGCCAUGUCCUCCCUUCUGGGACCCACUCACGGCCUUCGUGCCACCGUCGGAUCACGCCCCCUCCUCGAGCCGACUCGGUGGUUCUCUUCGCCGGCGCCGGUGGUGGAGGCGCCGAGGACGGUUGACGGCCUGACUGUGGACUCUAUUGCCGACAAGGGCUGGACGAUCCUCGCCGACGCCGAGAGCGACUGGCGCAGCCACGCCGCCGCCGUCGCGCAGUCCAUCAGGCUUAUUAAGAAGCGUCUCAAGUGGAAAUGGUUACUGGAGAGGUCGAAGCAGUUGGCUGUGGUAUUGGAGAAGCCAGACCUUUGGGAGGAUCCAGUUUUUGCUGGGAAUGUUAGUCGUGAACAAGGCGAGCUCAUGGGCAAGAUUAAGUCAGUGAACCAAUUUGAGCAACAAUUGAUGGAGCACAUCGACAUGUUGAGGCUUGCACGUGAAGAGGGUGACAAUGAACUCGAGACGGAAUCCAUGAGAGCAUUGGCCGAUAUGAGAAGAGAUGCAAAGGAGAAAGAACUCAAUGCAUUGCUUUCUGGAGAUAAUGACGUUUACCCUUGCUUCAUUGAGGUCCAAGCAGGAGCCGGAGGUGUUGAGAGCAUGGAUUGGGCUGCCAUGGUUAUGAACAUGUACAGAUCAUGGGCUCAGCGACGAGGAUACAGAGUCACUGUAAUAGAAGAAAUUCCUGGUGAACUAGCAGGAAUCAAGAGGGCUACUAUCAAAGUUGAUGGUGAGUAUGCAUUUGGAUAUGCCAAAUCUGAAAUAGGAGUUCACAGAUUAGUGCGGAUUUCUCCAUUUGACAGUGGAAAGCGGCGGCACACUUCCUUUGCUGCUGUUGCUGUAAUACCUAUUCUUGGUGAGGCCUCUAGCCGAUACCAGAUAAACGAAUCAGAUCUUCGGAUUGAACGCUUCCGUUCUGGUGGACCUGGCGGCCAGCAUGCCAACACCACAGAAAGUGCUGUUAGAAUUGUGCACAUCCCAACUGGUACAACGGCAACUUGUCAAAAUGAAAGGUCACAACAUAUGAAUAGGGCAUCAGCAAUGGCGGUGCUUCAAUCUAGGUUGGACCAGCUUGAGAUUACCCGUCAAGCGCAGAUGAAUGCAGAGCACACACAAUCACUCUCUGAAAUAAGCUGGGGAAACCAAAUAAGAUCGUAUGUGCUACAGCCAUACCGUAUGGUGAAAGAUCUCCGGACAAACUAUGAAGUGUCUGAUCCCGAUUCAGUCCUGGAAGGCGACCUGGACGAUUUCAUACUGAGCUUUUUGUCAUUAUCAUUGAAUAAAGCUGAUGAAAGUGUCUGA
RNAcentral lists this ribosomal RNA (1398 nucleotides) under Triticum aestivum (bread wheat). RNAcentral's name for it is "partial small subunit ribosomal RNA". The record is from RNAcentral. Lineage: Eukaryota; Viridiplantae; Streptophyta; Magnoliopsida; Poales; Poaceae.